GGCCAACAUGGUGAACCCGUCUCUACUAAACAUAUAAAAAUUAGCCAGGCAUGGUGGUGGGUGCCUGUAAUCCCAGCUACUCAGGAGGCUGAGGCCGGAGAAUCGCUUGAACUUGGGAGACGGAGGUUGCAGUGAGCCGAGAUUGUGCCACUGCACUCCAGCCUGGGAGACAGAGCAAGACUCUGUCUCAAACCAAAACCAAAACCAAACAAAACUAACUGGUGGAGCAUGCGUCCCAGCCUGGGGACUACAAGGGGCAUGGCCUGGCUCUCACUUUUGCCCUUCCUUCCCCCGACCCAAGUCCCACCCAUGGGCCUGGGCUUGGCCACGCAGCACAAUUGAACAUUGAGUAACACACAGAUAGUGAAUAUCAGAGUUUACUUGUGGGUUGUGCAAGACAGGAGACCUUUGGAGACCCCUCUGUUAUUUCCUUGAGCCCCAGAAACUACCCAUGCCUACACCCCAAAAGCAGCAGCAGCAUGAGAACGAUUAACACACAUUGAGGACCUAUUGUGUGGGGGUCCCCGGAAUGCCUCACAUGAAGUCAUGUGUCUUGUCAGAGCCCUUGGAGACAGGGCCACUUCGUGUCCCCAUAUUACAGAUGAGGAAACUGAGGCACAAAGCAGCUAAGCCCUCAGCCAUGGGUCCACAGCCAGGAACCUGGGUCCAGCUCUCCAGCCGUGCCCCUGGCCCUGGGCUGCUCCAAGCUUGGCACACAUGGAUUUGAAAUGUUCACAGCCCGAGGGGGUGCAGUGGAUUUUGCAGAGUCUGAGACUUGCACAUCAGCAGCAUGGAGAUUAUGGGGUUCAGGUGAGAAUCCUGGCUCUGGUGCUCAGUCCUGGCCGUGGGCCCCCUGGUGAGUCACUGCCUCUCUUGGGGCCUCCGUUUCCUCAUCUGUGAAAUGGAUGGAGACACUUAGAGAAUCACUGCCUAAGCCCCCCGCUCCCCUUAUGCCUGUAACAGAAUCUCAUCCAUCUGGACAGCCACAUUUCCCAGCCUCCCCUGCAGCAAGGUAUGGCCAUUUCGCUCUGUUCUGGCCAGUGGGAUAUAAAAAGAAGGGUUUCGAGGCUUCCUGGGAAGACUUCCAGGAGACACCUAGCCAGCGCUGGCCUCUGACUUUCCCUCAGAAUGAGGAGGUGAAGGCUGGAGCUCUGGCAAUUAUUUUGUGCCACGAGGCAACCUUGAGGACAAAAGCCAAGGAUGCAAUAAAAUGAGAGA
This 1218-nucleotide long non-coding RNA is filed under the name Homo sapiens (human). RNAcentral describes it as "HSALNT0256632". The record is from RNAcentral. Lineage: Eukaryota; Metazoa; Chordata; Mammalia; Primates; Hominidae.